GAGACUCUGUGCGCGUGCAUAUCAAUAAGCGGAGGAAAAGAAACUAACAAGGAUUCCCCUAGUAACGGCGAGUGAAGCGGGAAGAGCUCAAAUUUGAAAUCUUAAAGGGUUUCCCUUGACGAAUUGUAGUUUAUAGAAGUGUUUUCUGUUAGGAGUUUCGGUAAAAGUUCUUUGGAAUAGGACAUCAUAGAGGGUGAGAAUCCCGUAUUUGACCGUUACUUUCCUAGCUUUGUGAUACACUUUCAAAGAGUCGGAUUGUUUGGGAAUGCAGUCCAAAAUGGGUGGUAAAUUUCAUCUAAAGCUAAAUAUUGGCGAGAGACCGAUAGCGAACAAGUACCGUGAGGGAAAGAUGAAGAGAACUUUGAAAAGAGAGUUAAACAGUACGUGAAAUUGUCAAAAGGGAAGCGUUUGACACCAGUGUUGUUUAGUUGAAAAUCAAUUCAAUAAUUUUUGAUUUUAAGUAGUAUUGACUUCAUCAGCUUGCUGCUUUCUUUUCAGGAAUUAUUGAAUGCACUUUUCAGUUAACAAGUCAACAUCAAUUUCUUUUGUUGUAAAAGGGUAAGAGGAAGGUGGCUUACGCUUCGGCGUAAGUGUUUAUAGCCUUUUACCUCUGCAAUCGGAGAGAUUGAGGACAGCAGCGUAGACUCUUCGAGGUUAGAUACACUUGUGCUAAGCUAUAGCCUUGUAUAGACAACUUGUUGACUAUGCUCAGUCAUGUAGCUUACUCGCUUGUGCUAUUUUACCUACGCUUAGGAUGUUGACAGCAGUAUAGACUGU
RNAcentral lists this ribosomal RNA (777 nucleotides) under uncultured Neocallimastigales. RNAcentral's name for it is "partial large subunit ribosomal RNA". It matches the Rfam family "Eukaryotic large subunit ribosomal RNA", at positions 23 to 638 of the family's 3401-position model. Lineage: Eukaryota; Fungi; Neocallimastigomycota; Neocallimastigomycetes; Neocallimastigales. The record is from RNAcentral.